GGAGGGGGCAAGCGUUGUUCGGAAUCAUUGGGCGUAAAGGGCGCGUAGGCGGCCCGUCAAGUCGGGUGUGAAAUCCCUCGGCUCAACCGAGGAACCGCACUCGAUACUGUCGGGCUGGAGUCCGGGAGGGGAUGGUGGAAUUCCCAGUGUAGCGGUGAAAUGCGUAGAUAUUGGGAAGAACACCGGUGGCGAAGGCGGCCAUCUGGACCGGUACUGACGCUGAGGCGCGAAAGCUAGGGGAGCGAAUGGGAUUAGAUACCCCGGUAGUCCUAGCUGUAAACGAUGGGCACUUGAUGUGGCAGGUUCUGACCCCUGCCGUGUCGAAGCUAACGCGUUAAGUGCCCCGCCUGGGGAGUACGGUCGCAAGGCUG
Molecule: ribosomal RNA, 371 nt
Filed under: uncultured organism
Description: bacterial SSU rRNA
Rfam family: Bacterial small subunit ribosomal RNA
Source: RNAcentral